This 699-nucleotide ribosomal RNA is filed under the name Alcaligenes faecalis. RNAcentral describes it as "bacterial SSU rRNA". It matches the Rfam family "Bacterial small subunit ribosomal RNA", at positions 771 to 1476 of the family's 1533-position model. Lineage: Bacteria; Pseudomonadati; Pseudomonadota; Betaproteobacteria; Burkholderiales; Alcaligenaceae. The record is from RNAcentral.
AACAGGAUUUGAUACCGUGGUAGUCCACCCCAUAAANGAUGUCAACUAGCUGUUGGGGCCGUUAGGCCUUAGUAGCGCAGUAACGUGUGAAGUUGACCGCCUGGGGAGUACGGUCGCAAGAUUAAAACUCAAAGGAAUUGANGGGGACCCGCACAAGCGGUGGAUGAUGUGGAUUAAUUCGAUGCAACGAGAAAAACCUUACCUACCCUUGACAUGUCUGGAAAGCCGAAGAGAUUUGGCCGUGCUCGCAAGAGAACCGGAACACAGGUGCUGCAUGGCUGUCGUCAGCUCGUGUCGUGAGAUGUUGGGUUAAGUCCCGCAACGAGCGCAACCCUUGUCAUUAGUUGCUACGCAAGAGCACUNUAAUGAGACUUGCGGUGACAAACCGGAGGAAGGUGGGGAUGACGUCAAGUCCUCAUGGCCCUUAUGGGUAGGGCUUCACACGUCAUACAAUGGUCGGGACAGAGGGUCGCCAACCCGCGAGGGGGAGCCAAUCUCAGAAACCCGAUCGUAGUCCGGAUCGCAGUAUGCAACUCGACUGCGUGAAGUCGGAAUCGCUAGUAAUCGCGGAUCAGAAUGUCGCGGUGAAUACGUUCCCGGGUCUGGNACACACCGCCGGUCACACCAUGGGAGUGGGUUUCACCAGAAGUAGGUAGCCUAACCGUAAGGAGGGCGCUUACCACGGUGGGAUUCAUGACU